RNAcentral lists this ribosomal RNA (497 nucleotides) under uncultured bacterium. RNAcentral's name for it is "partial 16S ribosomal RNA". It matches the Rfam family "Bacterial small subunit ribosomal RNA", at positions 28 to 507 of the family's 1533-position model. The record is from RNAcentral.
GACGAACGCUGGCGGCGUGCCUAAUACAUGCAAGUAGAACGCUGAAGAGAGGAGCUUGCUCUUCUUGGAUGAGUUGCGAACGGGUGAGUAACGCGUAGGUAACCUGCCUUGUAGCGGGGGAUAACUAUUGGAAACGAUAGCUAAUACCGCAUAACAAUGGAUGACACAUGUCAUUUAUUUGAAAGGGGCAAUUGCUCCACUACAAGAUGGACCUGCGUUGUAUUAGCUAGUAGGUGAGGUAAUGGCUCACCUAGGCGACGAUACAUAGCCGACCUGAGAGGGUGAUCGGCCACACUGGGACUGAGACACGGCCCAGACUCCUACGGGAGGCAGCAGUAGGGAAUCUUCGGCAAUGGGGGCAACCCUGACCGAGCAACGCCGCGUGAGUGAAGAAGGUUUUCGGAUCGUAAAGCUCUGUUGUAAGUCAAGAACGGGUGUGAGAGUGGAAAGUUCACACUGUGACGGUAGCUUACCAGGAAGGGACGGCUAACUACGUG